Molecule: ribosomal RNA, 476 nt
Filed under: uncultured bacterium
Lineage: Bacteria
Description: partial 16S ribosomal RNA
Rfam family: Bacterial small subunit ribosomal RNA
Source: RNAcentral
GACGAACGCUGGCGGCGUGCUUAACACAUGCAAGUCGAACGGUAAGGCCUUCGGGUACACGAGUGGCGAACGGGUGAGUAACACGUGGGUGAUCUGCCCUGCACUUCGGGAUAAGCCUGGGAAACUGGGUCUAAUACCGGAUAGGACCAUGGACUUCACGGUUUGUGGUGGAAAGCUUUUGCGGUGUGGGAUGGGCCCGCGGCCUAUCAGCUUGUUGGUGGGGUAAUGGCCUACCAAGGCGACGACGGGUAGCCGGCCUGAGAGGGUGUCCGGCCACACUGGGACUGAGAUACGGCCCAGACUCCUACGGGAGGCAGCAGUGGGGAAUAUUGCACAAUGGGCGCAAGCCUGAUGCAGCGACGCCGCGUGGGGGAUGACGGCCUUCGGGUUGUAAACCUCUUUCAGUAGGGACGAAGCGCAAGUGACGGUACCUACAGAAGAAGCACCGGCCAACUACGUGCCAGCCGCCGCAGUAA